AUUACAAAGAAGAGUUUGAUCCUGGCUCAGGAUGAACGCUAGCGGCAGGCCUAAUACAUGCAAG
This 64-nucleotide ribosomal RNA is filed under the name Lentimicrobiaceae bacterium. RNAcentral's name for it is "partial 16S ribosomal RNA". The record is from RNAcentral. Lineage: Bacteria; Pseudomonadati; Bacteroidota; Bacteroidia; Bacteroidales; Lentimicrobiaceae.